UGACUGAGCGGCGGACGGGUGAGUAACGCGUGGGUAACCUGCCUCAUACAGGGGGAUAACAGUUAGAAAUGACUGCUAAUACCGCAUAAGCGCACAGCAUCGCAUGAUGCAGUGUGAAAAACUCCGGUGGUAUGAGAUGGACCCGCGUCUGAUUAGCUAGUUGGUGAGGUAAAGGCCCACCAAGGCGACGAUCAGUAGCCGACCUGAGAGGGUGAUCGGCCACAUUGGGACUGAGACACGGCCCAAACUCCUACGGGAGGCAGCAGUGGGGAAUAUUGCACAAUGGGGGAAACCCUGAUGCAGCAACGCCGCGUGAGUGAAGAAGUAUUUCGGUAUGUAAAGCUCUAUCAGCAGGGAAGAAAAUGACGGUACCUGACUAAGAAGCCCCGGCUAACUACGUGCCAGCAGCCGCGGUAAUACGUAGGGGGCAAGCGUUAUCCGGAUUUACUGGGUGUAAAGGGAGCGUAGACGGCGAAGCAAGUCUGAAGUGAAAGCCCGGGGCUUAACCCCGGGACUGCUUUGGAAACUGUUUUGCUAGAGUGCUGGAGAGGUAAGUGGAAUUCCUAGUGUAGCGGUGAAAUGCGUAGAUAUUAGGAGGAACACCAGUGGCGAAGGCGGCUUACCGGAC
Molecule: ribosomal RNA, 628 nt
Filed under: uncultured Lachnospiraceae bacterium
Lineage: Bacteria; Bacillati; Bacillota; Clostridia; Lachnospirales; Lachnospiraceae
Description: bacterial SSU rRNA
Rfam family: Bacterial small subunit ribosomal RNA
Source: RNAcentral